Meriones unguiculatus (Mongolian gerbil) is the source of this 510-nucleotide long non-coding RNA. RefSeq lists it as uncharacterized. The transcript is spliced from 3 exons. NCBI's taxonomy places the organism in Eukaryota, Metazoa, Chordata, Mammalia, Rodentia, Muridae. The record is from RefSeq and is a predicted model, not a curated record.
CUCCAGACACAGUGAACACAGAAGACGAGGACAGAAAUAACACAACGGGUGCCCUAGGAUGAGAAGAACACUCUACUCCUAGAGCAUAAAGAACCAAGAAGAUGCGGCCAGUGUGGGGACUUCACAGAGGCCCUUGCUGUAAGCACGGACCUCAUUUUAUACACAAUGAAGACUUGAUAAAUCCAGACAUAGAACUCUCAGCUCAUCCAGCACCAUGUCUACCUGCACGCUGCUGCUUGCACUCUGAUGAAAACGAACUGAACCUCUGAACCUGUACAACUGUUUAAAAAACAAAGACUGCUCUUUGAUCACUUCCCCCUGAGGGGGAAGCAGCAUUACCAGUCCACAAAAGAAGACAAUGCAGCCACUCCUGAUGAGACCUAAUUGACUAGGAUCAGAAGGAAGGAAAAGAAGACCUCCCCUAUCAAUGGACUUGGGGAGGGGCAUGCAUGCAGAGGGUGGAGGAAAGGAGGGAUUGGGACAGGAGGAGGGAGGGAACCACAGGGGGAU